Molecule: ribosomal RNA, 253 nt
Filed under: uncultured bacterium
Lineage: Bacteria
Description: partial 16S ribosomal RNA
Rfam family: Bacterial small subunit ribosomal RNA
Source: RNAcentral
UACAGAGGUCCCAAGCGUUGUUCGGAUUCAUUGGGCGUAAAGGGUUCGUAGGUGGCUUGCUAAGUCAGACGUGAAAUCCCUCGGCUCAACCGGGGAACUGCGUCUGAGACUGGCGAGCUUGAGUGCAGGAGAGGAACGCGGAAUUCCAGGUGUAGCGGUGAAAUGCGUAGAUAUCUGGAGGAACACCGGUGGCGAAGGCGGCGUUCUGGACUGCAACUGACACUGAGGAACGAAAGCCAGGGGAGCAAACGGG